GUGCUGCAUCCUGUCGAUAUUUGUAUUUUGGCAUUUUACAUGUUUUCUCAUACUGUAGAAGACGUCUUUACAUUAAAUCCAUUCGAUAUGUAUUUUUGAUAUAUUUAUGUCUGAGAAACAUCAUAAUGUUGUUAGUUGUAAUUGGCUUUGAACUAGCUUUCUGUAACUCUAGGUACUUUUUGGUCGGUACGGUGUGUCUUUAGUCCUUUUUAAUUGUUUUUGUACUUUGUGCCGACCUGAUGGGUUAAAAUUAAAACUUUUUCAACUGAUUGUUUAUAGUUUAUUCUAAUGGUACACCGUUGAACCAGAUAAAGGUAGGGCCGAGUGCUUCCAAACAUGUUUAACGCCGCCAAAUUUUGUAUAUGAUUGUCCUACGUUAGCAGCCUGUGAUUUAGUGGUUUUCGUUGGUUGUUGUCCAUCAUAUUUGUUUUUCGUUUAUUGGUUUGCACAUAUGUUUGUUUUCUUGAUUGAAUGGUUUAACAUUUUGUCAUGUAUGAGCCAUUUUAGCUCACUGUAUGUGGUGUGAUUUUUGCUCAUUAUUGAAGUUCGUAUGGUGACACAAAAUUACUAUCAUUUACAUUAUUUGGUGUCUGGUGGAAAAUUGUCUCAUUGGCAACCAUACCACAUCUUUUUAUUUUAUAUUGAUAUGAUUAUUAGCUUUGUUAUGAUUGCAGUGUGUGUUUUGUGGAGUGCAAUUUUGAAGUGCGGAAUACACCUGAUCGCCAUAUGUCCGCCAUAUCAUUUUCGCUAUAUUUAGAAUGUACAUUUGAACACCAAAAUAUAGUGUGGUGAAUAUAACUGACGAUUUUAUCAGCUAGAAGUGUUAAAUUUUCUAUUUUUAAUCUUUGCUAAACAUGGAUUCAGAGUGGUAUAAAAGGAUAUGAUUACGACUUAGUUUUGUGGUAAUUUGCCUUUUCCAGGAUUAGAAUAAUAUUCUUAUUGCUAGGUUGUUAGUGGUUAAUACGGAAGUGAUACACCUGAUCGCCAUAUGUCCGCCAUAUCAUUUUCGCUAUAUUUAGAAUGUACAUUUGAACACCAAAAUAUAGUGUGGUGAAAAUAACUGACGAUUUUAUCAGCUAGAAGUGUUAAAUUUUCUAUUUUUAAUCUUUGCUAAACAUGGAUUUAGAGUGGUAUAAAAGGAUAUGAUUACGCCUUAGUUUUGUGGUAAUUUGCCUUUUCCAGGAUUAGAAUAAUAUUCUUAUUGAUAGGUUGUUAGUGGUUAAUACGGAAGUGGUUAGAGGUCCAUCCCCAUCCCCAAUCGUCACAACUCGGCCGAUUCCGUACCUCAUCUAGGAGAGAAACGGGGUCACCCGAGGACUGCCGAUUGUCCCCAUCCCGAGUCAAAAAAGGUAAAAUCAUUUUGAUGAGUAAAAUGACAGUUUUGUCGACAAAAGGUAGAGCUCAACAUUUGAACAAUACUGUUCCGGUCAGAUUUUCUCUAUUUACA
RNAcentral lists this long non-coding RNA (1447 nucleotides) under Mytilus galloprovincialis (Mediterranean mussel). Lineage: Eukaryota; Metazoa; Mollusca; Bivalvia; Mytilida; Mytilidae. The record is from RNAcentral.